RNAcentral lists this ribosomal RNA (253 nucleotides) under uncultured bacterium. Its description in RNAcentral is "partial 16S ribosomal RNA". It matches the Rfam family "Bacterial small subunit ribosomal RNA", at positions 524 to 776 of the family's 1533-position model. The record is from RNAcentral.
UACAGAGGUCUCAAGCGUUGUUCGGAUUCAUUGGGCGUAAAGGGCGCGUAGGUGGCGCGCUAAGUCAGGUGUGAAAUUUCGGAGCUUAACUCCGAAACUGCAUUUGAUACUGGCGUGCUUGAGGACUGGAGAGGAGACUGGAAUUCAUGGUGUAGCAGUGAAAUGCGUAGAGAUCAUGAGGAAGACCAGUGGCGAAGGCGGGUCUCUGGACAGUUCCUGACACUGAGGCACGAAGGCCAGGGGAGCAAACGGG